AGCGAACGCUGGCGGCAGGCCUAAUACAUGCAAGUCGAGCGCACCUUCGGGUGAGCGGCGGACGGGUGAGUAACGCGUGGGAAUGUGCCCUUUGGUACGGAACAACUGAGGGAAACUUCAGCUAAUACCGUAUGUGCCCUUCGGGGGAAAGAUUUAUCGCCAUUGGAGCAGCCCGCGUUGGAUUAGGUAGUUGGUGAGGUAAAGGCUCACCAAGCCGACGAUCCAUAGCUGGUCNGAGAGGAUGAUCAGCCACACUGGGACUGAGACACGGCCCAGACUCCUACGGGAGGCAGCAGUAGGGAAUCUUGCGCAAUGGGCGAAAGCCUGACGCAGCGACGCCGCGUGAGUGAUGAAGGCCUU
Molecule: ribosomal RNA, 360 nt
Filed under: uncultured bacterium
Lineage: Bacteria
Description: bacterial SSU rRNA
Rfam family: Bacterial small subunit ribosomal RNA
Source: RNAcentral